AACGAACGCUGGCGGCGCGUUUUAAGCAUGCAAGUCGCACGGUAGACGGGUUUCGGCCUGUUGAGAGUGGCGGACGGGUGAGUAACGCGUAGGAAUCUACCUAUCUGUGGGGGAUACCAACUGGAAACGGUUGUUAAUACCGCAUAAUAUCUGAGGAUUAAAAGUGGCUUCGGCUGCUGCGGAUAGAUGAGCCUGCGUUAGAUUAGCUUGUUGGUGGGGUAAAGGCCUACCAAGGCUGCGAUCUAUAGCUGAUUUGAGAGGAUGAUCAGCCACAUUGGAACUGAGACACGGUCCAAACUCCUACGGGAGGCAGCAGUGGGGAAUAUUGGACAAUGGGCGAAAGCCUGAUCCAGCAAUACCAUGUGUGUGAAGAAGGCUCUAGGGUUGUAAAGCACUUUAGUCAGGGAGGAAGUUUAGUUGGUUAAUAGCUGGUUAAAUUGACGUUACCUGAAGAAUAAGCACCGGCUAACUCCGUGCCAGCCGCCGCGGU
This 490-nucleotide ribosomal RNA is filed under the name uncultured bacterium. RNAcentral's name for it is "bacterial SSU rRNA". It matches the Rfam family "Bacterial small subunit ribosomal RNA", at positions 29 to 521 of the family's 1533-position model. The record is from RNAcentral.